Molecule: ribosomal RNA, 392 nt
Filed under: uncultured bacterium
Lineage: Bacteria
Description: bacterial SSU rRNA
Rfam family: Bacterial small subunit ribosomal RNA
Source: RNAcentral
GACGAACGCUGGCGGCGUGCUUAACACAUGCAAGUCGAGCGGUAAGGCCCUUUCGGGGGUACACGAGCGGCGAACGGGUGAGUAACACGUGGGUGACCUGCCCUCAGUUCUGGGAUAAGCCUGGGAAACCGGGUCUAAUACUGGAUAUGACCUCAUGACGCAUGUUGUGGGGUGGAAAGCCUUGUGCGACUGAGGAUGGGCCCGCGGCCUAUCAGCUUGUUGGUGGGGUGAUGGCCUACCAAGGCGACGACGGGUAGCCGGCCUGAGAGGGCGACCGGCCACACUGGGACUGAGACACGGCCCAGACUCCUACGGGAGGCAGCAGGUGGGGAAUCUUGCGCAAUGGGCGAAAGCCUGACGCAGCGACGCCGCGUGAGGGAUGACGGCCUGGU